This 465-nucleotide ribosomal RNA is filed under the name Vreelandella stevensii. Its description in RNAcentral is "partial 16S ribosomal RNA". It matches the Rfam family "Bacterial small subunit ribosomal RNA", at positions 338 to 795 of the family's 1533-position model. The record is from RNAcentral. Lineage: Bacteria; Pseudomonadati; Pseudomonadota; Gammaproteobacteria; Oceanospirillales; Halomonadaceae.
CCUACGGUGGGCUGCAGUGGGGAAUAUUGGACAAUGGGCGAAAGCCUGAUCCAGCCAUGCCGCGUGUGUGAAGAAGGCCUUCGGGUUGUAAAGCACUUUCAGUGGGGAAGAAAGCCUUGGGGCUAAUACCCUCGAGGAAGGACAUCACCCACAGAAGAAGCACCGGCUAACUCCGUGCCAGCAGCCGCGGUAAUACGGAGGGUGCGAGCGUUAAUCGGAAUUACUGGGCGUAAAGCGCGCGUAGGCGGUCUGAUAAGCCGGUUGUGAAAGCCCCGGGCUCAACCUGGGAAUGGCAUCCGGAACUGUCAGGCUAGAGUGCAGGAGAGGAAGGUAGAAUUCCCGGUGUAGCGGUGAAAUGCGUAGAGAUCGGGAGGAAUACCAGUGGCGAAGGCGGCCUUCUGGACUGACACUGACGCUGAGGUGCGAAAGCGUGGGUAGCAAACAGGAUUAGAUACCCGUGUAGUC